Diospyros lotus (date-plum) is the source of this 92-nucleotide small nucleolar RNA. RefSeq annotates it as small nucleolar RNA snoR113. Lineage: Eukaryota; Viridiplantae; Streptophyta; Magnoliopsida; Ericales; Ebenaceae. The transcript has a single exon. The record is from RefSeq and is a predicted model, not a curated record.
UGGCAAUGAUGACAAAAAGGCCGGACUUACGGCUGCUCUCUAAUAGAUGUAGUAGAUUGAUGAAACAGUCUUUAAGGUAUAUUCUGAGCCAG